CGUAGCUAACGCGUGAAGUAUCCCGCUGGGGAGUAUGCUCGCAAGAGUGAACUCAAAGGAAUUGACGGGGCCCGCACAAGCGGUGGAGCAUGUGUUUAAUUCGAUGCAACGCGAAGAACCUUACCAGGACUUGACAUGUCACUUUUUCUCCGAAAAGAGAAGUGUUCUCCCAUGCUUGCAUGGAAGAAAAGGGUGAACACAGGUGGUGCAUGGCUGUCGUCAGCUCGUGUCUUGAGAUGUUGGGUUAAGUCCCGCAACGAGCGCAACCCUUGUUUUGUGUUGCUUGUUUUUUUCCAUUUGGAAACAUUCAAGGAAACUCAAAAGACUGCCGGUGACAAGCCGGAGGAAGGUGAGGAUGACGUCAAGUCAGCAUGCCCCUUACGUCCUGGGCGACACACGUGCUACAAUGGCCGAGACAAAGAGAUGCAAUCCCGCGAGGGCAAGCCAACCUCAAAAACUCGGUCUCAGUUCGGAUUGCAGGCUGCAACUCGCCUGCAUGAAGUCGGAAUCGCUAGUAAUCGCAGGUCAGCCAUACUGCGGUGAUACGUUCCCGGGCCUUGUACACACCGCCCGUCACACCAUGGGAGCUGGCUACGCCCAAAGUCGUUACCCCAACCUGUUCAGGAGGGGGACGCCUAAGGCAGGGCUAGUGACUG
RNAcentral lists this ribosomal RNA (656 nucleotides) under uncultured cyanobacterium. RNAcentral's name for it is "bacterial SSU rRNA". It matches the Rfam family "Bacterial small subunit ribosomal RNA", at positions 847 to 1477 of the family's 1533-position model. Lineage: Bacteria; Bacillati; Cyanobacteriota. The record is from RNAcentral.